GCAAGUCGAACGAGUUCUCGUUGAUGAUCGGUGCUUGCACCGAGAUUCAACAUGGAACGAGUGGCGGACGGGUGAGUAACACGUGGGUAACCUGCCCUUAAGUGGGGGAUAACAUUUGGAAACAGAUGCUAAUACCGCAUAGAUCCAAGAACCGCAUGGUUCUUGGCUGAAAGAUGGCGUAAGCUAUCGCUUUUGGAUGGACCCGCGGCGUAUUAGCUAGUUGGUGAGGUAAUGGCUCACCAAGGCGAUGAUACGUAGCCGAACUGAGAGGUUGAUCGGCCACAUUGGGACUGAGACACGGCCCAAACUCCUACGGGAGGCAGCAGUAGGGAAUCUUCCACAAUGGACGCAAGUCUGAUGGAGCAACGCCGCGUGAGUGAAGAAGGCUUUCGGGUCGUAAAACUCUGUUGUUGGAGAAGAAUGGUCGGCAGAGUAACUGUUGUCGGCGUGACGGUAUCCAACCAGAAAGCCACGGCUAACUACGUGCCAGCAGCCGCGGUAAUACGUAGGUGGCAAGCGUUAUCCGGAUUUAUUGGGCGUAAAGCGAGCGCAGGCGGUUUUUUAAGUCUGAUGUGAAAGCCCUCGGCUUAACCGAGGAAGCGCAUCGGAAACUGGGAAACUUGAGUGCAGAAGAGGACAGUGGAACUCCAUGUGUAGCGGUGAAAUGCGUAGAUAUAUGGAAGAACACCAGUGGCGAAGGCGGCUGUCUGGUCUGUAACUGACGCUGAGGCUCGAAA
Molecule: ribosomal RNA, 737 nt
Filed under: Lactobacillus casei group sp.
Lineage: Bacteria; Bacillati; Bacillota; Bacilli; Lactobacillales; Lactobacillaceae
Description: bacterial SSU rRNA
Rfam family: Bacterial small subunit ribosomal RNA
Source: RNAcentral